AGAUCAGAAUGUUGGUCGUGCCUUGGUACGUACUGGCAUUAUUGGUCUCUCCCUUCUGACGAACCAUGAUGUCAUUAACUUGGUGUCAUGGGAAAUCAGGACUGUUACUUUGAAAAAAUUAGAGUGUUUAAAGCAGGCUCACGCUUGAAUACAUUAGCAUGGAAUAAUGAAAUAGGACGUUCGAUCCUAUUUUUGUUGGUUUCUAGGAUUAAACGUA
Molecule: ribosomal RNA, 217 nt
Filed under: Campeiostachys nutans
Lineage: Eukaryota; Viridiplantae; Streptophyta; Magnoliopsida; Poales; Poaceae
Description: Elymus nutans partial small subunit ribosomal RNA
Rfam family: Eukaryotic small subunit ribosomal RNA (bases 38-217)
Source: RNAcentral